CCGCACGAUUUCCUCAAUUUCCCUCAUUUCCCUCACAUUUCUCCCUCCUUUCCCAAUCUCCCUUUUUAACCUAAUCUCCCGCGUCGAUCCCCCCUCCUUUCCCUCCUCCUUCCUUUCUUCUUUCCGGCCUGUGCACGUCCUCUCCAACCAUCGUCACUGCCACCGUUGCCAUUGUCGUUGCUUCCCGUCGCCGCCGUUGCUUCCUGCCGUUGUUGCUUCCUGCUGCUCACCUAAGGUCAUUCCGCCAACUCGGAAGCUCAACUAGCAGCAAAGGCAAAUGAUAAAGAUGUUGAAUUAGAAGUCUUGAGGAGACUUAAAAGCUGCUCACAUUGCUCUGGAGUAAAAGGGCAAGAAUUUGAUUCAAUAGAAGACACAUGCCCUGUAACAGCUCUUUGACGUUCUUCUUGAACAAUCAGUGCAUAUACUUUGCCGAUUGAAGGCAGAGGAUCACUCAACAAUAUUUGUCUACGAAUUUGUGAAUAUGUGUCAUUUAACCCCAUAAGAAAUUGCAGCACAUAAUCUUCAUGAGAUGACUUUCCACAGGCACAUCCUCGACCACAAACAUAUUUCUUAGUGGCUAUGUAAUCGGACAAUUCAUCCCACAAACCUUUCAGCCUAGUAAAAUAUGUUGUUACAGUUAGGUUUUCUUGCA
Molecule: long non-coding RNA, 652 nt
Organism: Malania oleifera
Lineage: Eukaryota; Viridiplantae; Streptophyta; Magnoliopsida; Santalales; Ximeniaceae
Exons: 3
Source: RefSeq, a predicted model, not a curated record